ACUAAGCGUACACGGUGGAUGCCCUGGCAGUCAGAGGCGAUGAAGGACGUGCUAAUCUGCGAUAAGCGUCGGUAAGGUGAUAUGAACCGUUAUAACCGGCGAUUUCCGAAUGGGGAAACCCAGUGUGAUUCGUCACACUAUCAUUAACUGAAUCCAUAGGUUAAUGAGGCGAACCGGGGGAACUGAAACAUCUAAGUACCCCGAGGAAAAGAAAUCAACCGAGAUUCCCCCAGUAGCGGCGAGCGAACGGGGAGCAGCCCAGAGCCUGAAUCAGUGUGUGUGUUAGUGGAAGCGUCUGGAAAGGCGUGCGAUACAGGGUGACAGCCCCGUACACAAAAAUGCACAUGCUGUGAGCUCGAUGAGUAGGGCGGGACACGUGGUAUCCUGUCUGAAUAUGGGGGACCAUCCUCCAAGGCUAAAUACUCCUGACUGACCGAUAGUGAACCAGUACCGUGAGGGAAAGGCGAAAAGAACCCCGGCGAGGGGAGUGAAAAAGAACCUGAAACCGUGUACGUACAAGCAGUGGGAGCACGCUUAGGCGUGUGACUGCGUACCUUUUGUAUAAUGGGUCAGCGACUUAUAUUCUGUAGCAAGGUUAACCGAAUAGGGGAGCCGAAGGGAAACCGAGUCUUAACUGGGCGUUAAGUUGCAGGGUAUAGACCCGAAACCCGGUGAUCUAGCCAUGGGCAGGUUGAAGGUUGGGUAACACUAACUGGAGGACCGAACCGACUAAUGUUGAAAAAUUAGCGGAUGACUUGUGGCUGGGGGUGAAAGGCCAAUCAAACCGGGAGAUAGCUGGUUCUCCCCGAAAGCUAUUUAGGUAGCGCCUCGUGAAUUCAUCUCCGGGGGUAGAGCACUGUUUCGGCAAGGGGGUCAUCCCGACUUACCAACCCGAUGCAAACUGCGAAUACCGGAGAAUGUUAUCACGGGAGACACACGGCGGGUGCUAACGUCCGUCGUGAAGAGGGAAACAACCCAGACCGCCAGCUAAGGUCCCAAAGUCAUGGUUAAGUGGGAAACGAUGUGGGAAGGCCCAGACAGCCAGGAUGUUGGCUUAGAAGCAGCCAUCAUUUAAAGAAAGCGUAAUAGCUCACUGGUCGAGUCGGCCUGCGCGGAAGAUGUAACGGGGCUAAACCAUGCACCGAAGCUGCGGCAGCGACGCUGAUGCGUUGUUGGGUAGGGGAGCGUUCUGUAAGCCUGCGAAGGUGUGCUGUGAGGCAUGCUGGAGGUAUCAGAAGUGCGAAUGCUGACAUAAGUAACGAUAAAGCGGGUGAAAAGCCCGCUCGCCGGAAGACCAAGGGUUCCUGUCCAACGUUAAUCGGGGCAGGGUGAGUCGACCCCUAAGGCGAGGCCGAAAGGCGUAGUCGAUGGGAAACAGGUUAAUAUUCCUGUACUUGGUGUUACUGCGAAGGGGGGACGGAGAAGGUUAUGUUGGCCGGGCGACGGUUGUCCCGGUUUAAGCGUGUAGGCUGGUUUUCCAGGCAAAUCCGGAAAAUCAAGGCUGAGGCGUGAUGACGAGGCACUACGGUGCUGAAGCAACAAAUGCCCUGCUUCCAGGAAAAGCCUCUAAGCAUCAGGUAACAUCAAAUCGUACCCCAAACCGACACAGGUGGUCAGGUAGAGAAUACCAAGGCGCUUGAGAGAACUCGGGUGAAGGAACUAGGCAAAAUGGUGCCGUAACUUCGGGAGAAGGCACGCUGAUAUGUAGGUGAAGCGACUUGCUCGUGGAGCUGAAAUCAGUCGAAGAUACCAGCUGGCUGCAACUGUUUAUUAAAAACACAGCACUGUGCAAACACGAAAGUGGACGUAUACGGUGUGACGCCUGCCCGGUGCCGGAAGGUUAAUUGAUGGGGUCAGCGCAAGCGAAGCUCUUGAUCGAAGCCCCGGUAAACGGCGGCCGUAACUAUAACGGUCCUAAGGUAGCGAAAUUCCUUGUCGGGUAAGUUCCGACCUGCACGAAUGGCGUAAUGAUGGCCAGGCUGUCUCCACCCGAGACUCAGUGAAAUUGAACUCGCUGUGAAGAUGCAGUGUACCCGCGGCAAGACGGAAAGACCCCGUGAACCUUUACUAUAGCUUGACACUGAACAUUGAGCCUUGAUGUGUAGGAUAGGUGGGAGGCUUUGAAGUGUGGACGCCAGUCUGCAUGGAGCCGACCUUGAAAUACCACCCUUUAAUGUUUGAUGUUCUAACGUGGACCCGUGAUCCGGGUUGCGGACAGUGUCUGGUGGGUAGUUUGACUGGGGCGGUCUCCUCCUAAAGAGUAACGGAGGAGCACGAAGGUUGGCUAAUCCUGGUCGGACAUCAGGAGGUUAGUGCAAUGGCAUAAGCCAGCUUGACUGCGAGCGUGACGGCGCGAGCAGGUGCGAAAGCAGGUCAUAGUGAUCCGGUGGUUCUGAAUGGAAGGGCCAUCGCUCAACGGAUAAAAGGUACUCCGGGGAUAACAGGCUGAUACCGCCCAAGAGUUCAUAUCGACGGCGGUGUUUGGCACCUCGAUGUCGGCUCAUCACAUCCUGGGGCUGAAGUAGGUCCCAAGGGUAUGGCUGUUCGCCAUUUAAAGUGGUACGCGAGCUGGGUUUAGAACGUCGUGAGACAGUUCGGUCCCUAUCUGCCGUGGGCGCUGGAGAACUGAGGGGGGCUGCUCCUAGUACGAGAGGACCGGAGUGGACGCAUCACUGGUGUUCGGGUUGUCAUGCCAAUGGCACUGCCCGGUAGCUAAAUGCGGAAGAGAUAAGUGCUGAAAGCAUCUAAGCACGAAACUUGCCCCGAGAUGAGUUCUCCCUGACUCCUUGAGAGUCCUGAAGGAACGUUGAAGACGACGACGUUGAUAGGCCGGGUGUGUAAGCGCAGCGAUGCGUUGAGCUAACCGGUACUAAUGAACCGUGAGGCUUAACC
This 2892-nucleotide ribosomal RNA is filed under the name Escherichia coli. RNAcentral's name for it is "bacterial LSU rRNA". It matches the Rfam family "Bacterial large subunit ribosomal RNA". Lineage: Bacteria; Pseudomonadati; Pseudomonadota; Gammaproteobacteria; Enterobacterales; Enterobacteriaceae. The record is from RNAcentral.